AUCCCCUGGCAAUGGGCAAAGACACGCCAUGUUGGUAUUCUUCUAUCACUCAGGGGCAGAGCAGAUGGCAGUCCUUUGUUUAUCCUAGCUUGAUGCUUGGCUUGGUAGCCAAAACUGUCUCAAGCCUAGGGCACAUAA
Molecule: small nucleolar RNA, 138 nt
Organism: Acomys russatus (golden spiny mouse)
Lineage: Eukaryota; Metazoa; Chordata; Mammalia; Rodentia; Muridae
Product: small nucleolar RNA SNORA48
Exons: 1
Source: RefSeq, a predicted model, not a curated record